UACGAGGGGGGCAAGCGUUGUUCGGAAUUAUUGGGCGUAAAGGGCGCGUAGGCGGUGCGGUAAGUCACCUGUGAAACCUCUAGGCUCAACCUAGAGCCUGCAGGCGAAACUGCCGUGCUUGAGGGUGGGAGAGGUGCGUGGAAUUCCCGGUGUAGCGGUGAAAUGCGCAGAUAUCAGGAAGAACACCCGUGGCGAAAGCGGCUCUCUGGAACGGUACUGACGCUGAGACGCGAAAGCGUGGGGAGCGAACAGG
This 253-nucleotide ribosomal RNA is filed under the name uncultured bacterium. RNAcentral describes it as "partial 16S ribosomal RNA". It matches the Rfam family "Bacterial small subunit ribosomal RNA", at positions 524 to 776 of the family's 1533-position model. The record is from RNAcentral.